Molecule: ribosomal RNA, 424 nt
Filed under: uncultured bacterium
Lineage: Bacteria
Description: partial 16S ribosomal RNA
Rfam family: Bacterial small subunit ribosomal RNA
Source: RNAcentral
AAUUUUGGACAAUGGGGGAAACCCUGAUCCAGCCAUCCCGCGUGUAGGAUGAAGGCCUUCGGGUUGUAAAGUACUUUUGGCAGAGAAGAAAAGGCAUCCCCUAAUACGGGAUGCUGCUGACGGUAUCUGAAGAAUACGCACCGGCGAGCGACGUUCCAGCAGCCGCGGUAAUACGUAGGGUGCAAGCUUUAAUCGGAAUUACGGGGCGUAAGGCGUGUGGAGGCGGUACGGAGAGAAAGAUGUGAAAUCCCAGGGCUCAACCUUGGAACUGCAUUUUUAACUGCCGAGCUAGAGUAUGUCAGAGGGGGGUAGAAUUCCACGUGUAGCAGUGAAAUGCGUAGAUAUGUGGAGGAAUACCGAUGGCGAAGGCAGCCCCCUGGGAUAAUACUGACGCUCAGACACGAAAGCGUGGGGAGCAAACAGG